Molecule: transfer RNA, 90 nt
Filed under: Blastocatellia bacterium
Lineage: Bacteria; Pseudomonadati; Acidobacteriota; Blastocatellia
Description: tRNA-Leu
Rfam family: tRNA
About the family: Transfer RNA (tRNA) molecules are approximately 80 nucleotides in length. Their secondary structure includes four short double-helical elements and three loops (D, anti-codon, and T loops).
Source: RNAcentral
GGCCCGGUGAUGGAAUAGGUAGACAUAGCGGACUUAAAAUCCGCUGCUGCCAUAAGCGGCGUGCCGGUUCGAGUCCGGCUCGGGCCACCA